CAUGCAGUCGACGGCAGCAUACGAGCUUGCUCCUGAUGGCGAGUGGCGAACGGGUGAGUAAUAUAUCGGAACGUGCCCUAGAGUGGGGGAUAACUAGUCGAAAGACUAGCUAAUACCGCAUACGAUCUACGGAUGAAAGUGGGGGAUCGCAAGACCUCAUGCUCCUGGAGCGGCCGAUAUCUGAUUAGCUAGUUGGUGGGGUAAAAGCCUACCAAGGCAACGAUCAGUAGCUGGUCUGAGAGGACGACCAGCCACACUGGGACUGAGACACGGCCCAGACUCCUACGGGAGGCAGCAGUGGGGAAUUUUGGACAAUGGGGGCAACCCUGAUCCACCAAUGCCGCGUGAGUGAAGAAGGCCUUCGGGUUGUAAAGCUCUUUUGUCAGGGAAGAAACGGUAGUAGCGAAUAACUAUUACUAAUGACGGUACCUGAAGAAUAAGCACCGGCUAACUACGUGCCAGCAGCCGCGGUAAUACGUAGGGUGCAAGCGUUAAUCGGAAUUACUGGGCGUAAAGCGUGCGCAGGCGGUUGUGUAAGUCAGAUGUGAAAUCCCCGGGCUCAACCUGGGAAUUGCAUUUGAGACUGCACGGCUAUAGUGUGUCAGAGGGGGGUAGAAUUCCACGUGUAGCAAUGAAAUGCGUAGAUAUGUGGAGGAAUACCGAUGGCGAACGCAGCCCCCUGGGAUAACACUGACGCUCAU
Molecule: ribosomal RNA, 701 nt
Filed under: Herbaspirillum sp.
Lineage: Bacteria; Pseudomonadati; Pseudomonadota; Betaproteobacteria; Burkholderiales; Oxalobacteraceae
Description: bacterial SSU rRNA
Rfam family: Bacterial small subunit ribosomal RNA
Source: RNAcentral